This 347-nucleotide unclassified non-coding RNA is filed under the name soil metagenome. RNAcentral describes it as "partial contains 5.8S ribosomal RNA, internal transcribed spacer 2, and large subunit ribosomal RNA". The stretch from base 1 to 120 matches the Rfam family "5.8S ribosomal RNA", at positions 35 to 154 of the family's 154-position model. The record is from RNAcentral.
GAUGAAGAACGUAGCGAAAUGCGAUAACUAAUGUGAAUUGCAGAAUUCAGUGAAUCAUCGAGUCUUUGAACGCACAUUGCGCCCUCUGGUAUUCCGGAGGGCAUGCCUGUCCGAGCGUCAUUGCUGCCCUCCAGCCCGGCUGGUGUGUUGGGCCCCGUCCCCCUUCCCGGGGGGACGGGCCCGAAAGGCAGCGGCGGCACCGCGUCCGGUCCUCGAGCGUAUGGGGCUUUGUCACCCGCUCUUGUAGGCCCGGCCGGCGCCAGCCGACCCCCUCAAUCUAUUUUUCAGGUUGACCUCGGAUCAGGUAGGGAUACCCGCUGAACCUAAGCAUAUCAAUAAGCGGAGGA